AAAUUGAAGAGUUUGAUCAUGGCUCAGAUUGAACGCUGGCGGCAGGCCUAACACAUGCAAGUCGAACGGUAACAGGAAACAGCUUGCUGUUUCGCUGACGAGUGGCGGACGGGUGAGUAAUGUCUGGGAAACUGCCCGAUGGAGGGGGAUAACUACUGGAAACGGUAGCUAAUACCGCAUAACGUCGCAAGACCAAAGAGGGGGACCUUCGGGCCUCUUGCCAUCGGAUGUGCCCAGAUGGGAUUAGCUAGUAGGUGGGGUAACGGCUCACCUAGGCGACGAUCCCUAGCUGGUCUGAGAGGAUGACCAGCCACACUGGAACUGAGACACGGUCCAG
Molecule: ribosomal RNA, 337 nt
Filed under: Escherichia coli
Lineage: Bacteria; Pseudomonadati; Pseudomonadota; Gammaproteobacteria; Enterobacterales; Enterobacteriaceae
Description: bacterial SSU rRNA
Rfam family: Bacterial small subunit ribosomal RNA
Source: RNAcentral